RNAcentral lists this ribosomal RNA (735 nucleotides) under uncultured bacterium. RNAcentral's name for it is "bacterial SSU rRNA". It matches the Rfam family "Bacterial small subunit ribosomal RNA", at positions 770 to 1501 of the family's 1533-position model. The record is from RNAcentral.
AACAAGGAUUAGAUACCCUGGUAGUCCACGCCGUAAAACGAUGUCUACUAGCUGUUCGUGGUCUUGUACUGUGAGUAGCGCAGCUAAACGCACUAAGUAGACCGCCUGGGGAGUACGGUCGCAAGAUUAAAACUCAAAAUGAAUUGACGGGGGCCCGCACAAGCGGUGGAGCAUGUGGUUUAAUUCGACGCAACGCGAAGAACCUUACCUACUCUUGACAUCUACGGAAGUUGGCGGAGAUGCUGAUGUGCCUUCGGGAACCGUAAGACAGGUGCUGCAUGGCUGUCGUCAGCUCGUGUUGUGAAAUGUUGGGUUAAGUCCCGCAACGAGCGCAACCCCUAUCCUUAGUUGCCAGCACGUAAUGGUGGGAACUCUAGGGAGACUGCCGGUGAUAAACCGGAGGAAGGUGGGGACAACGUCAAGUCAUCAUGGCCCUUACGAGUAGGGCUACACACGUGCUACAAUGGUACGUACAGAGGGAGGCAAGCUGGCGACAGUGAGCGGAUCUCUUAAAGCGUAUCGUAGUCCGGAUCGCAGUCUGCAACUCGACUGCGUGAAGUCGGAAUCGCUAGUAAUCGCAAAUCAGAAUGUUGCGGUGAAUACGUUCCCGGGCCUUGUACACACCGCCCGUCACACCAUGGGAGUGGGUUGCAAAAGAAGUAGGUAGCUUAACCUUCGGGAGGGCGCUUACCACUUUGUGAUUCAUGACUGGGGUGAAGUCGUAACAAGGUAACC